Molecule: long non-coding RNA, 456 nt
Filed under: Manihot esculenta (cassava)
Lineage: Eukaryota; Viridiplantae; Streptophyta; Magnoliopsida; Malpighiales; Euphorbiaceae
Description: long non-coding RNA (MESC_LNC012400)
Source: RNAcentral
GUAAUACCCGGCUAGACUCCGGUAUCGGAAUUCCUACCGUCCGGUGGAAUCUCGGAUGUCGGAAACCUCUAGAAGGGGUAAAACCAUGUUUUAUGAAAUGUUUUUAAUGUAAGUUUUAUAGUGUGCUUGACUAGAGUCUGUUGUAAUCCCUUAAAUACAUGAGAUAAAUGUUUUAUGAUGUUUAUGUAACCCAAGCCUGAGAUAUGUUAUGUACCCCAUUGGAGUAUUUGUUGAGAACUCCAAUGAGGGGUUUAUGUUAUGGUUAUGCAUGCACAGACUAGGCUGGGUAAAGAAAUGUUUGAAUGAAAGAAAAGUUUUAAUUUUUAUGUAUGUUUUGGUUCAUGUAUGGGAUUGAACAGGUUCACAGGAUGUAUGUUUGGCUUGCUACGGGUUCCGGCGGCCUUAAGCCGACCUGAAUCCUAGCGCCGGUAGCGGUCCGGUUUCCGGGUCGUUACA